UACGUAGGGGGCAAGCGUUGUCCGGAUUUAUUGGGCGUAAAGCGCUCGCAGGCGGCUUGCUACGUCGUGCGUGAAACACCCCGGCUCAACUGGGGAGGGUCGUGCGAUACGGGCAGGCUGGAGGCAGGCAGGGGAGAACGGAAUUCCCGGUGUAGCGGUGAAAUGCGCAGAUAUCGGGAGGAACACCGGUGGCGAAGGCGGUUCUCUGGGCCUGUACUGACGCUGAGGAGCGAAAGCGUGGGGAGCGAACAGG
RNAcentral lists this ribosomal RNA (253 nucleotides) under uncultured bacterium. RNAcentral's name for it is "partial 16S ribosomal RNA". It matches the Rfam family "Bacterial small subunit ribosomal RNA", at positions 524 to 776 of the family's 1533-position model. The record is from RNAcentral.